UGUCAUAUAACAAGGGAGCUCCCAUAAGAUUAUCAGCAGAUUUGUCAGCAGAAACAUUACAGUACAAAAGGGAGUGGGGUGAUACAGUUCAAGUGUUGUUAAAAAUAAAAAUACACCCAGCCAGCCAAGAAUACUGUAGCUGGCAAAACCAUCUUUCAAAAAUGAACAAAUAAAGACCUUCCCAGAUAACCAAAGCCAAAGAAGUUCACCACCACUAGAUCUACCUUGUAAGAAAUGCUAAAGAGAUUCUUUGAAGCUGAAGUGAAAGGAUGCUAAAUAGCAAUAUAAAAGUAUAUGAAAAAACUCUCUGGUAAAGGGAAAUAUGUGGACAAAAACAGAAUCCUAUAAUAUAGUAAUGGUGGUGAGCAAACAACUUUAAAUUCUGGUAUAGAAUUAGACAAAAGCAUAAAAAUAACUAAAACUAUGUUAAUAGAUAAAAAUAUAAAAUACUCGAUUUGGUUUUUUAAUUUUUAAUUUUCGUGGGAUCAUAGUAGGUGUGUAUAUUUAGGGGAUGUGAUGGUUAAUACUGAGUGUCAACUUGAUUGGAUUGAAGGAUGCAAAGUAUUGAUCCUGGGGUAUGUCUAUGAGGGUGUUGCCAAAGGAGGUUAACAUUUGAAUCCUUGGACUGGGAAAGGCAGACCCACCGCCAAUCUGAGUGGGCAUCAUCUCAUCAGCUGCUGGCACAGCCAGGAUAUAAAGCAGACAGAAAACAUGAAAAGGCUAGACUGGCCUAGCCUCCCAGCCUAUAUCUUUCUCCUGUGCUGGAUGCUUCCUGCCCUCAAACAUCAGACUCCCAAGUUCUUCAGUUUUGGGACUCGGACUGGCUUCCUUGCUCCUCAGCUUGCAGACAUCCUGUUGUGGGACCUUGUGAUUGUGUUCAGGGAGCAAGUUUCCGAGGUUGGAAAGAAGUGACUUCACUGUUUAACAAAGAUGAUGAGCAGCAUCUCCUGGAAAGAUGUAAAUCUCCCAAGUCCAAAGGGUAAGUCAUAACUGUGUAAGAAAAUGAUCAUUUCAGGAGAGGGAGGAAGUCACUGAGGAGGUGGAAAUGAAGAUUUGAUGGCAUAAAUGCAGUGUAACUGGAGGCAUUGUGGGGCGCGGCGAGUCCAUGUUUCCCUCCCCACUCCGUCUGUCCCUGUUGAGUGGCAGACGGUCAUGGACUUCAUGAUGUGUGCUUCGGAGUUAACAUCCAUCCCUUGUGAAUAAACAGAAAUGGGCUGGGCAUGGUGGCUCAUGCCUGUAAUCCCAGCACUUUGGGAGGCCAAGGCAGGCAGAUCACAAGGUCAGGAGUUCAAGACCAGCCUGGCCAACAUGGUGAAACCCCGUCUAUACU
This 1330-nucleotide long non-coding RNA is filed under the name Homo sapiens (human). RNAcentral describes it as "HSALNT0131862". The record is from RNAcentral. Lineage: Eukaryota; Metazoa; Chordata; Mammalia; Primates; Hominidae.